Phthorimaea operculella (potato tuberworm) is the source of this 73-nucleotide non-coding RNA. The record is from the annotation of a GenBank genome assembly. Lineage: Eukaryota; Metazoa; Arthropoda; Insecta; Lepidoptera; Gelechiidae.
ACCACGGUAGCCCAGUUAGUAGUGGCGUCGGCAGUACAGCCGAAGGUCGCAGGUUCAAAUCCUACCUGGGGUG